Molecule: small nuclear RNA, 176 nt
Filed under: Myotis brandtii (Brandt's bat)
Lineage: Eukaryota; Metazoa; Chordata; Mammalia; Chiroptera; Vespertilionidae
Description: U2 spliceosomal RNA
Rfam family: U2 spliceosomal RNA
About the family: U2 is a small nuclear RNA (snRNA) component of the spliceosome (involved in pre-mRNA splicing). Complementary binding between U2 snRNA (in an area lying towards the 5' end but 3' to hairpin I) and the branchpoint sequence (BPS) of the intron results the bulging out of an unpaired adenosine, on the BPS, which initiates a nucleophilic attack at the intronic 5' splice site, thus starting the first of two transesterification reactions that mediate splicing.
Source: Rfam by way of RNAcentral
AUCGCUUGGCCUUUUGGCUAAGAUCAAGUGUAGUAUCUGUUCUUAUCAGUUUAAUAUCUAUCUGAGGACAAUAUAUUAAAUGGAUUUUUGGAGUUAGGAGAUGGAAUAGGAGCUUGCUCCGUCCACUCCACGCAUUGGCCUGGUAUUGCAGUACCUCUAGGAACAGUGCAUCAAAA